CUGACGAGCCCUUUACUGACGCUAAAGCUCGAAGGUGCGGGUAUCGAACAGGAUUAGAUACCCUGGUAGUCCGCACGGUAAACGAUGGAUGCCCGCUGUAUGCGAUACAAUGUAUGCGGCCAAGCGAAAGCGUUAAGCAUCCCACCUGGGGAGUACGCCGGCAACGGUGAAACUCAAAGGAAUUGACGGGGGCCCGCACAAGCGGAGGAACAUGUGGUUUAAUUCGAUGAUACGCGAGGAACCUUACCCGGGCUUGAACUGCAGCAGAACGAUUCAGAGAUGAUGAGGCCCUUCGGGGCUGCUGUGGAGGUGCUGCAUGGUUGUCGUCAGCUCGUGCCGUGAGGUGUCGGCUUAAGUGCCAUAACGAGCGCAACCCCUUUCGCCAGUUGCCAUCAGGUGAUGCUGGGCACUCCGGCGACACUGCCACCGCAAGGUGUGAGGAAGGUGGGGAUGACGUCAAAUCAGCACGGCCCUUACGUCCGGGGCUACACACGUGGAACAAUGGUGUGUACAGAGAGUCAGGCGUUGGCAACACCGCCUUAAUCCAUAAAGCCAUCCUCAGUUCGGAUUGGGGUCUGCAACCCGACCCCAUGAAGCAGAU
RNAcentral lists this ribosomal RNA (601 nucleotides) under uncultured bacterium. RNAcentral's name for it is "bacterial SSU rRNA". It matches the Rfam family "Bacterial small subunit ribosomal RNA", at positions 725 to 1331 of the family's 1533-position model. The record is from RNAcentral.